Molecule: unclassified non-coding RNA, 7414 nt
Filed under: Hermetia illucens (black soldier fly)
Lineage: Eukaryota; Metazoa; Arthropoda; Insecta; Diptera; Stratiomyidae
Description: roundabout homolog 2, transcript variant X5
Source: RNAcentral
CAGGUUUAUUGCGAGUUGCCGGUUCGUGGUCGGUCCUUCGGAGGUUUUCUAUUGCAAGCCUUGUUCGUAGCCGAAGAAGAGGAAGCAGUGAUACAGCUCCUCCCAGUUAUUUAUAGUGCAAAUAUGAAGUUGAGUGAAGUGCAUUCCCUUUGAGAUAAAAAAUUUGCGAAAGGAAUCUGAUGAGAGUGAGAUGUAACAGAACCAGUGGCGGUUGGUGAUUAGAAGUCACAUGUUCAGGAGAAAGACUCUCAGUGAAGUUUUGAAGUGAUCGGUUUGAUUGUGCUCAAUGUGUAGAGCGGAAGGAGUUAAGGAUCGUAUAGUGCCAGGCAAGACUUCCAGCUGCUGAGAGAAAAUUACAGGAUUUGUUCCAAACUGUUGGAUUACUCUACACAACGCUUAGAGAAAAAUUUUUGGUUCGUAUAUUUUGAACAGCGGAUUGGAGCAGCAUUCGUUUCAAACUUUUGAUGUCAUACUCCGUUCUAUUGUUAAACUGGAAGUUGAAACUGAAGGUAAUGGUCGACUGUAAAAUCUCCUGGAAGCUGAAGGAAUAAAACAACAAUCACCUGAGAGCAAACGGUAUCCUAACAACGACUACCAUAGUCAUAAACUUCUAUCGGGAAGCAAUAAGAAACUGACGUCCUUUAUUGUUAUCCUGUCUACAGUUCGGGAUACAGGAUACGUUGCCGAGAGGAGCAAAGCAUCCUACCCGGAACAGUAAAUUUUAAGAUUCACACCGGCGAUAAAACUGGGAAAAAAACGAAUAUCGGACCAUAAAAAUUCGUGAAAGGAAAGAAAAGGGACGAAACCCUUGGUUCGCGAUUUCAUUAGUAGAAAGUCUAGCAAAAUGUCGGAAAAUUAACGCUUCGGUCGAAUUUAAAGAAUAGAUCGGGAAACGGUUGAACUUUUCACUUUUCUGCAGUUUAUUUCACUAGCGGCAGGAGCUAAUCUAAGGGCUCAGUAAUGUGCGGUGGAAAUGAAGUAGCCACUUCCAUUAUUUUAUCUUUAAUCCUAUGAAGAAUGACUUCAAUCUCAAGGCUGUGCUGCUCAUUCUAAGACCCGGUUCAUAUGGAAAUGCUUCCCAUGGAGUGAGUUUUCCAAAAAAAUCGUUAUUUUAUAAUGCCCGUAUAAGUGUUCGUAUGUGACUAGUGUUUGUGUUGGUUUCGGUGUCGAUAAUUGGUGACCACCGUGUUUAACAAUGCCCCUAAAUUGGACGGAUCGAUUUCUUGUGCAUCAGCGAGGGCCGCGGCAGUACUUACAGCAACAACACAAGCAACCCAACAAACGGCAGCAUCUUAGCAUCAAAUCCAAUUUUAUUUUUCUCAUAUUUUGGAUUUAUUGCGUUGCACCAGCAUAUGCCCAAUACAGAUCUCCUAAGAUAACAGAGCAUCCUAGCGAUAUAGUUGUGCCGAAAAAUGAACCAGUCACAUUAAACUGUAAGGCCGAAGGCAAACCCGAACCGACAAUCGAAUGGUUUAAGGAUGGUGAGCCAGUCAAGACAAGCCCGAACGAUAAUAAAUCCCAUCGAGUUUUAUUACCAUCCGGAUCACUUUUCUUCCUUCGAACGGUCCACGGGAAAAAGGAACAGGAUGGUGGAGUUUACUGGUGUGUGGCGAGAAACCAAGCCGGAAAAGUGUAUAGUCGAAAUGCAACUCUACAAAUAGCAGUACUUCGAGAUGACUUCAGAGUGGAGCCCAAGGACACAAGAGUGGCAGCCGGUGAAACUGCUCUGCUAGAGUGCGGACCACCUAAAGGCAAUCCUGAACCGACCCUCAUCUGGGAGAAGGAUGGUGUCCCUCUGGAUACAGACGAUCUACGAGGACAGUCACAUGGCACCAUGUCACGAAUUCGAAUCGUUGAUGGUGGUAAUUUACUAAUUAGCGACGUUAAACGAAUCGACGAGGGAAAGUACAAGUGUAUUGCUCAAAACGUGGUGGGCAAUCGUGAAAGUGCUGUUGCCAAAUUAACCGUUCAAGUGAAACCAACAUUUAACAAGGAACCGACAGAUUCAACAGUAGUUGCCGGGCAAACUGUUCAAUUCGAUUGUUCUGUUAACGGAGAUCCACAACCACAGAUACUCUGGCGAAAGGAUGAAGGACAUAUGCCGGUGGGCAGAGCCAACAUUCAGGAAGAGGACCGCAGUCUCAUCAUUAAGAAUGUGCAACCGAUGGACGAAGGCACCUACAUAUGCGAUGCGCACAAUGCAGUUGGGCAAAUAAGCGCCCGAGCUCAUCUUUAUGUUUAUUCAUCGCCAACAUUCACGGUUAAGCCGCAGGACAAAAAGGUUGGUCUCAAUGGAGUAGCGACUUUUGAUUGCGUUGCCAAUGGGAAUCCACCACCGUCUGUCUUCUGGACAAAGGAAGGCUCGCAAAUGCUCAUGUUCCCGGACAAUUCCUAUGGACAUUUACACGUCACGAGUAAAGGAUCCUUGCAAAUUCGUGGCGCACAAAAGGACGAUGCCGGAUAUUUUGUCUGUUCCGCUCUGAGUGUCGCCGGCUCAUCAACAAUUCGAGCAUUUCUGCAGGUUACGUCCGUUGAUGAUACACCGCCGCCCAUUAUUCAAAUUGGACCGUCGAAUCAGACAUUGCCGAAGGGCAGUGUUGCUACAUUGCCCUGCCGAGCCACUGGAAAUCCCGUGCCCCGUGUCAAAUGGUACAAGGAUGGUAUACCGCUUACAAACGGACAUCGAUUCAUGAUUGUUCAGGGCGGCUCAUUGAAAAUCGAUGAUUUGCAGCUAACAGAUACUGGUCUUUACACUUGCACUGCUUCGUCUGAGAGCGGGGAGACAUCUUGGUCAGCAACACUCACUGUCGAGAAGAGCAGCUCGUCGAUAUUGCAUCGUUCACCGGAUCCAAGUACCUUCCCAUCGCCACCGGGAACACCGAAAGUGGUCAACGUCACGCAAAGUACAAUUACAUUACGCUGGACCAAACCGCUAGAGAAGCCGGCAGCCAGUCCAUUGAUCGGAUACACAGUGGAAUAUUUCAGCUCGGAUUUGCAGACCGGCUGGGUUGUGGCCGCUCAUCGUGUUCCUGAUCAAAUAAUAACGAUAUCGGAGCUGAAGCCAGGCACCUCAUAUGUGUUUCUGGUUCGCGCUGAAAAUUCACACGGCCUAUCGGUGCCAUCUGGCCUGUCGAAUGUUGCCAGGACGCUCGGCAACGAAUUAGGUGUAGUACCACAAGCUGAACUGGCUGCCGCCAGGUCCGUUUUGAGUGGGAAGGUUGUCGAACUUAUCGACGCUCAACCAAUAAACUCGACAUCACUUCGUCUAGACUGGCAGAUGUAUGUUAGUAUGACCGAGGAAUACGUUGAAGGUUUAUAUAUUCGCUUUCGUGAUGUGAGCGGUGGCUCCCAGAAGUACAACAUCAUGACCGUAUUGAAUCCAUCUCUGGAAACUCACGUUGUGUCCAAUUUAAAAAAGUUCACGAAAUAUGAAUUUUUCAUUGCGCCCUUCUAUCGUACGUUAGAGGGGCAACCGAGCAAUUCAAAGCUCGUUCAAACGUUGGAGGACGUUCCAUCCGCUCCGCCAGACAAUGUUCAAACGGGAAUGCUGAAUUUAACAGCUGGUUGGGUAAAAUGGCAGCCCCCACCGCCACAGCACCAUAAUGGAAUUCUUCUGGGCUAUAAAAUUCAGGUAAAAGCUGGAAAUUCGUCUAAAGUUCUCGCCCAAAUGACAUUGAACGCCACCACCAUGUCCGUUAUGCUAAACAACCUCACAACCGGAGCCACUUACAAUGUAAGGGUAGUUGCAUAUACAAGGGUUGGAGCAGGGCCAUAUUCACAGCCUAAGUCACUUGUGAUGGACCCAGCACACUUAAUUUCACCACCCCGUGCUCACCCAAGCGGAUCCUUGAGCGGUAUUGACGACUCAUCGUCCUCGACGACCCAUCGGAAAUCGAACGUUGUGCACGAGACGUGGUUCAUGGCACUUGUGAUUACAAUGCUUUUGGCAAUUUUGAUUUCCGCAGCAGCCGCCAUGCUUUUUUUCAAGCGUCGUCAUCAACUCACAAAGGAGCUGGGCCACUUAAGCGCUCUUCCAGUUGUUAAUGCAAGCGAGAUAACAGCCUUGAAUAUAAACGGAAAGGAAAGCCUCUGGAUAGACAGGGGUUGGCGAACUACCGACACGGACAAGGACUCGGGAUUAAGUGAAACGAAAUUAUUGUCGAACCCCAAUAGCCAGCAGUCAAAUUAUACAGAUGCCGGAACAGACUAUGCUGAAGUGGACACUCGAAAUUUGAGCACGUUUUAUAAUUGUCGAAAGUCACCAGACAACCCGACGCCAUAUGCAACAACAAUGAUAAUUGGAACCUCCUCCACGGAUAGCUGCAUGAAGAACUCCUCAUCGAGCAACGAGCAAAGUUCAUCAGGGACACAUAGUCCUCAUUCAGACCCAUCUCAAGGAUACGGCGGUAUCCAAGGCAGCGGCGGUAAACACAUGCAAGGACAUAACUACCAUCAAUAUCCGCCGGUUCCAAUCAAUUGGUCAGAGUUCCUUCCUCCACCGCCAGAGCAUCCACCGCCUGCACCACAAGGACAACCAUCGAUGGGUUGCGGUGGAAGAGGAGGAGGUGACGGCAACAACAGUGCAGCAGUUGGUGGAGGAUGCUAUGCUCCAGGAAGUCCUCAGUCGAGUCGGAAGAGCUCGAAAUCUGGAUCAGGAAUGUCAAUGCAUCAGAAUACAAUGAAUUCAUCCCAACAUAGUGGAUCAUCGGGUGGCUUUUCAUCGUGGGGUGGUGGCCCUCAGCCACAAUACUGUAACCGACAGGAAGGCUACUACAACAAUCCGCUUCCAUAUCCACCAAAUUCUUCCCACCCAAGUGGUCAGAAUCGUUAUCAAAUAACACCGACAAGUCAAUUGCCCCCACCUAUACCCUACUACCCUCAACCACAGCAAUCAGCCAAUCCUAUUCCACCAAGAAGUCUUCAUAUCCACUAUCCGCCACCGCGGCAUGCGUUAUCAGACUACCAACCAGUCGGCCAUCAAUCACAACGAUGUAACAAUGGAAGAAGUUGCAACAGUUGUGAUGCCCUCACAUCGCCACAGCUUCCGAAUCCCGAGUGGUAUCAACCACUACAAAAUAGUUCUAAUCAAAAUCAAAUCUACACAUGUUCCUCUGACUGUUCGGAUAGUUCGUUACGGAAUAGCCAUCAAGGACAUCAUCACGCGCACAACAGCUAUCACAAUCAUCACCAGCAUCAUCCGCACCAGCAUCAUCAUCAGCAGCAUCCGCAACAUCAGCAACAGCAGCAGCAAUCGCAUCCUGGUGCAUCGCAUAGCUUAGUACAUUCCGCCGAUAAUAGUCAUGAUAAUCUUAAGUCAGGUAGCUACAUUCUAAAUCGUUGCAACGGUAACAAUGGCUUCCAAGAAUCUGAUGAGACUGAACGCGAACAUAUGCUUAAAUCGACAUGCUCGUGUGACAUAAGUGGUGAUACGGAUCAGAGAAAUUGCAGCGAAUGUUGCAGUUCGCGCGACGGCGAUACUUGCUCCUGCAGUGAAAGUUCUUGUCUCUAUGCCGAGGCUGGAGAGCCAACGCAGAGUAUACCCAGCAGUGCAAUGACCAAAUCAUCACCGAAUUAGGACUCGAUAGGAACCCAUAUUUAACUACUUACUACCUAACUAACUAUGUAUGAGAAACUUCGUAACGUACUAUAGAAAACCUACAAGACUUAUUAAACACUACCCCAACAGCGACAAUUCGAUAUGAAUACAUACAUUUUCUUAUAAAGCAAAAAAACAAAUAACUUUGUAAUAAAAUAUUUUUAUCUGAAAAAUCGAUUUUGAUAAAAAUCAUUUUUAUACCAUGAGAAAUAAGCCAUAAUAAUACUAACAAAAUAUUUGUACGAAGAAUUAAACUAUUUACAUACAUCCAUUGCGCUGAAACUAAGUAGAUAUUUAGAAAAUGAAUUAGGACAGAAAUUGGGACGUUCGUAAACAGGAGUGUGUAUAUAAUAACCCUAAGAUAAUAUACAACACAAAAUUAAGCAAUCGGAAACAGGAAAACGCAACAGAAAACAUGGUUUAUUAAAAAGAAUAAAUAACGGUAUCAAUGUACUUGUCAAAACUGAUUAGAGUCAUAAAAAAUAGUUUCUAGGGAUAUUUUGGACUGUACAUAUACAAAAGGAAAAGAUACCAAGACUUGAUUUUGUAAAGAAACCAACCGAAAAUUUUCUCCUCAUGAAUUGUCCUAGACGACCGAUAAACACACAAAGCGUGAGAUACAUAGAAUCAUAAAAUAGGCAUAUAUCUAACGUAUUUGCGAAUAUCAUGUAAAAAAUUAUUACACAUAAGGAGUUAGAGUAGAGUAGCUAUUUAAGAGUGGAUGUGUGGCAUCAAAUCUACUGUAAUUUGAAGAAAGUCCUCGGCAAAAUUGUGAGAAAUCUGGAAUUCGUUAAAACAUUUCAAAUCUGGAAAGGUCAAACAUAUUCUGACAUCGCGCGCAGAAACGCUUUUGCACAUUCGAACCCAAGGGUAUUGACCGAAUUUUAAAAUAAAAUACAAUUUUACUAAGGAAAACGAUGCCAUAACAAAACACUUUGUACCUGUGAUACGUUUUAAUGUGAUAGGCGCCAUUUGUUUCCUUCUUUUCUAAUUUUGUUAAAUAUGACUAGAAGAGAUGAAAAGGAAGUUUUUUAUAUUUAAAUUGUUUUCCCCUGUUUUAAAGAACAUUUAUAAAACCUAAAAUGAUGAUUAUAUCAAACAAUAUUGAAAUCUGCUUUGAAUUCAUACAAGUAACUUAUAAACAGCGAAAAAUGUAGAAUUGAAAUAAUUUGAUAUGUUACGAAUAUGUAUAGAAAUAAUAACCCCGAAAUAAUCAUAGGAAACAGCACAUACUUAAAUGAAAUACGAAUAGUUGAAUGAAGAAGGCUUAAAUAUUUUAGCUGAAAUUGUCAAAAAUUUGGAACAAGCUGUCGUUACACUGUACAUAGGUAUUAAUGAAUUAUGAAGGGAAACAUUGAAUAAAAUUUCGCAACACAUGUAGCUAACCGUUGUAAUGGUAAUAAAUACCUAAAUAAAAUACUUUUUAAUGUAAAUAUUUGGAUCUGUACACACCGACACAAAAAGAAUUAUCAUACAGGCAAUAUAUUUCAAAACGGACAUUAGAAUCUAGAAUACAAUGUACUCGAUCGACCUACUUGAAAUAAAAAAAACACAAAUAAUAAUGGAAACAAACAUAAGAGCUAUCACUAAAAACGAAAAAAAACACUUACUAUCUAAUUUAUAAAAAUCUAUCCUAAAUACGACUAAAUAAAAAUCGAUAAUUAACGAAAACAAUGUAAGUUUAGAAUCUAUAUAAUGUUUAGGAUCGAAAGAUAUAAUGCCAUUGUAGAAAUUUUGAAAGAAUGGAAAUUUCGAUGAAAGGAAAAAACGAAAAUUAAAAAAUAUAACUAAAUAAAAUGACAAAAGUUUUUAAAUAUA